Molecule: small nucleolar RNA, 107 nt
Filed under: Beta vulgaris subsp. vulgaris (sugar beet)
Lineage: Eukaryota; Viridiplantae; Streptophyta; Magnoliopsida; Caryophyllales; Amaranthaceae
Description: Plant small nucleolar RNA R71
Rfam family: Plant small nucleolar RNA R71
About the family: R71 is a member of the C/D box family of snoRNAs containing the C (UGAUGA) and D (CUGA) box motifs. Multiple nearly identical copies of this snoRNA have been identified in Arabidopsis, and it is thought to function as a 2'-O-ribose methylation guide for 18S ribosomal RNA.
Source: Rfam by way of RNAcentral
AAUCCAUGAUAAGGACAUAGAUGCUGUAGAUCCUUGAACCGCUCCCAAGCUUCAUACAGAGACUCACCAGGAUCGUGGGUGAAAGUAACUAUGACAUGUCUCAUAUC